UACGUAGGCAGCAAGCGUUGUUCGGAAUUACUGGGCGUAAAGAGUGUGUAGGCGGUGUUCUAAGUUUGUCGUGAAAUCUCCCGGCUUAACUGGGAGGGUGCGGCGAAAACUGGAAUGCUAGAGGAUGGGAGAGGUAAGCGGAAUUCCUGGUGUAGCGGUGAAAUGCGUAGAUAUCAGGAGGAACACCGAUGGCGAAGGCAAUCCCCUGGACCUGUACUGACGCUCAUGCACGAAAGCGUGGGGAGCAAACAGG
RNAcentral lists this ribosomal RNA (253 nucleotides) under uncultured bacterium. RNAcentral's name for it is "partial 16S ribosomal RNA". It matches the Rfam family "Bacterial small subunit ribosomal RNA", at positions 524 to 776 of the family's 1533-position model. The record is from RNAcentral.